AUUUUCUUAGUAUAUAAGUACAUUUAACUUCCAAUUAAAAAGUUUGUUCAACAAAGAAAAUA
This 62-nucleotide transfer RNA is filed under the name Thoradonta nodulosa. RNAcentral's name for it is "tRNA-Gly". The record is from RNAcentral. Lineage: Eukaryota; Metazoa; Arthropoda; Insecta; Orthoptera; Tetrigidae. RNAcentral also lists the same sequence under 1 other name.